GUAAGGGCGGAGUCACCGAUAUUUGACGAUCCAGCAAAGUUGCAUGCGAUUGAAUCUGAGGCUGCUGCUCGUUUUCGAUGAUCAAGUUUGCUGUUAUAUUCUCUGAUUUAUUUUCCGGCAACAUCGAUUCGGACAGCGUCAUCUUUGUAUCUUGCUCCUUUGCAGCCACAUCGCCCAGGGUAGUUUUCUGCCAUUUAUACGUUGACUUUCGAAUCUCUGAAAGGAAGCUGUCUCGAUGGCCAGUAUUACAAUGGACAUAGUGAUGCAGAGCACCUGUAUUUUCACUGCAAAAACUAGGCCGAAUCAGGAAUCGAUAUAUCGAACAUCGAGCUCUGCCAAUGAGUCGUCAGAAGUAAAGAAGAGGAAUAAAUAAAUAACGAAGUCGCACUAAACUAUCAACGAAUCUUUUUUUAUCCUGCUUAUAAUCAACGUUUUCUUUCUCUAUAAAUAAAAUUUAUAUUCCUAAAUACUUAUGACGGAAGUGUUGCGAGAAUUUUUAGCACAGUUUAAUUUAAUAAUGCGGGCGAAUUAUUGGGGCGAUUCUGAGAAUAUGAUUAUCUUAGCUUAGUAUUUGAGAAAAUCAUGUGCAAUUUUAGAGGAAGUUACGGAACUUGAAAAUUUAAUUUGCUAAGCUCAAACGAAUCUAGAUUUAGAGAAAGCUAUUUGGCACAAAGACAUUACACUCAAUUUAUAAAUAGAAAAUAAAAUUCUGGAAAAUUAAUCUAGCAGGGAUUAAUGCCCUAUUGAAUAUAUCGAUUCGUCCGAUUCAGCUAAUAUUAUACAAGGAGAUGCAAAUAAAUAGAACUUCAUGGACACAAUAUAUAAAAAUGAACAAAAACAAAAAUGAAUUUUUCUAUUUUACCUGAUUGAUGACUG
Pogonomyrmex barbatus (red harvester ant) is the source of this 876-nucleotide long non-coding RNA. The record is from RefSeq and is a predicted model, not a curated record. Lineage: Eukaryota; Metazoa; Arthropoda; Insecta; Hymenoptera; Formicidae.